GACGAACGCUGGCGGCGUGCUUAACACAUGCAAGUCGAACGGUGAAAGCGGAGCUUGCUCCGCUGGAUCAGUGGCGAACGGGUGAGUAACACGUGGGCAACCUGCCCCUGACUUCGGGAUAACUCCUCGAAAGAGGUGCUAAUACCGGAUACGAAUCCUGCAGGCAUCUGCGGGAUUGGAAAGUUUUUCGGUCAGGGAUGGGCCCGCGGCCUAUCAGCUUGUUGGUGAGGUAGUGGCUCACCAAGGCGACGACGGGUAGCCGGCCUGAGAGGGCGACCGGCCACACUGGGACUAAGACACGGACCAGACUCCUACGGGAGGCAGCAGGAGGGAAUAUGGCGCAAUGGGCGAGAGCCUGACGCAGCAACGCCGCGUGAGGGAUGACGGCCUUCGGGUUGUAAACCUCUUUCAGCAGGGAAGAAGCGAAAGUGACGGUACCUGCAGAAGAAGCACCGGCUAACUACGUGCCAGCCGCCGCCGUAA
Molecule: ribosomal RNA, 483 nt
Filed under: uncultured bacterium
Lineage: Bacteria
Description: partial 16S ribosomal RNA
Rfam family: Bacterial small subunit ribosomal RNA
Source: RNAcentral